This 386-nucleotide ribosomal RNA is filed under the name Phrynopus remotum. Its description in RNAcentral is "Phrynopus sp. n. AC-2020 partial small subunit ribosomal RNA". It matches the Rfam family "Bacterial small subunit ribosomal RNA", at positions 789 to 1391 of the family's 1533-position model. Lineage: Eukaryota; Metazoa; Chordata; Amphibia; Anura; Strabomantidae. The record is from RNAcentral.
ACUAUGCCAAGUUGUAAACUUUAACUUACACCCCAUCGCCAGGGAACUACGAGCCAAGCUUAAAACCCAAAGGACUUGACGGUGCCCCACAUCCUCCUAGAGGAGCCUGUCCUAUAAUUGAUACCCCCCGCUAAACCUCACCAUUCUUAGCUUAUUAGCUUGUAUACUUCCGUCGUCAGCUAGCCACAUGAGUGAAACUCAGCAAGCUUAAUGUCUUACACCAAAACGUCAGGUCAAAGUGCAGCAAAUAGAAUGGGAACAGAUGGGCUACACUUUCUAACUUAGAAAAUACGAAAGACUAUGUGAAAUCUAGUCAGAAGGCGGAUUUAAAAGUAAGAAAAAAUCAUAGAGUUUUUCUUAACCCGGUACUGGGGCAUGUACACACC